CCUACGGGAGGCAGCAGUGAGGAAUAUUGGUCAAUGGGCGAGAGCCUGAACCAGCCAAGUAGCGUGAAGGAUGAAGGCCCUACGGGUCGUAAACCUCUUUUAUACGGGAAUAAAACGCUCCACUUGUGGGAUUCUGUAUGUACCAUACGAAUAAGGGCCGGCUAAUUCCGUGCCAGCAGCCGCGGUAAUACGGAGGACCCGAGCGUUAUCCGGAUUUAUUGGGGUUAAAGGGAGCGUAGGUGGAUAGUUAAGUCAGGUGUUAAAGUUUGCGGCUCAACCGGAAAAUUGCAGUUGAAACUGGAAGUCUUGAGUGCAGUAGAGGUAGGCGGAAUUCGUGGUGUAGCGGUGAAAUGCUUAGAUAUCACGAGGAACCCCGAUUGCGAAGGCAGCUCGCUGGACUGCAACUGACGCUGAGGCUCGAAGGUGUGGGUAUCAAACAGGAUUAGAUACCCUGGUAGUC
Molecule: ribosomal RNA, 460 nt
Filed under: uncultured bacterium
Lineage: Bacteria
Description: partial 16S ribosomal RNA
Rfam family: Bacterial small subunit ribosomal RNA
Source: RNAcentral